GAGGUGCUAGUAAAAUAUUUACCUUGUCUUGUCAAGACAAAAUUGUGGGUUAAACCCCCACGCACCUUA
RNAcentral lists this transfer RNA (69 nucleotides) under Lycengraulis grossidens (Atlantic sabretooth anchovy). RNAcentral describes it as "tRNA-Asp". The record is from RNAcentral. Lineage: Eukaryota; Metazoa; Chordata; Actinopteri; Clupeiformes; Engraulidae. RNAcentral also lists the same sequence under 1 other name.